This is a long non-coding RNA of Poecile atricapillus (Black-capped chickadee), 3173 nucleotides long. RefSeq lists it as uncharacterized. The transcript is spliced from 6 exons. The record is from RefSeq and is a predicted model, not a curated record. Lineage: Eukaryota; Metazoa; Chordata; Aves; Passeriformes; Paridae.
CCCGUGCUGGAGGUGACCCAGCCGGGGGCGGUUGCUCCCCGCGCCGGCCGCCGGGAUGUGCCCCGGGAGCGGCGGCAUCUUUCCUGCCCCGAUACCGCUUUGGAGACCCCAAGGCCUGGCUGAGGUGUGAGACUCACUCCUGGCCGAGCUCCGGCCUCGCUGGGUAGUGAAGGUAACAGAUACAUGCAUGGACAGAACCUUGUGAAAAAGAAAUCUACCAGAAGAUUGGUCCAUCAACUCAUUGCUAAGGUCCUCUGCCACUGAGGGGAUACACAAAAGAAACUGGGAGAGAGCAUAGCUGGGACAGGUGACCCAGACUGACCAAAGUGAUAUUCCACACCAAAGAACAUCAUGCCUGGCAUAUAAACUGGGGGAAGUUGCCUGGAAGGGAGGAUUAUCUGUGUUCAGGAAGGGGAGUCUGGUAUUGGUCAGCAGAAGAAGUAGGGAUGCUUGCCCCCACAUUGAGAUUCUUCAAACAGGCUCUUCAUUCACCACUCAGAGAAAGGAGCAGCUGUUCAAGCAGUUAUCAGAGACAGUGCCUUUCACAAAACAUGGAGAAUAGGCCAGUUACAGCUACAACCAUCCCAGAAGGCUGCAAUAGAGAAGUCUGUGGAAUUACCUCUGUUGUCCCGGCAGUGUCCAGUGUAGAACGUCUCUCUGCGUAGGAUGAUUUCUUGGGCAAUGAUCCCAUAGCUGUAUACAUCACCCUUCUGAGAUACAUCAGCAUGCCGCAGAUGUUCAGGAGCUGUCCACAGGUCUGAAGAUCCAGAUGGCAAUGUGGGACAAUGUAAAGAGGAGAAAAAUAAUUGCAAAAAGGGUGAUCCUUCUCACACCAUCCACUGGCUAUAAUGACAUUUCCUUUUACUCUUUUCAUAUCCAAUCCAGAGCCCACUAGUAUUGUAGUUCCUAGUUUAGCAUUUGUCUUGAGAAGCUGACAUCAAUACAGGUUAGAUAAACCUCUGAUGUAGUUUUCAAUUUUCUGGGAUUUGCUGACCCUGCUACUUUCCACCAUAGAUGCAGACUCCUAGUCAUUCAAAAAAGUUAUGUUUAUUGGCAAUGAACUUGCUUUUCUUAGCUAUGUUUCACAGACUUCUUAGAAAUAGCCUCCGUAUCUAGAUAAGACCGAGGAAUGCCAGUGCUAUAAUAAAAAAAAACCCUGAGCCAUAAAUUAUUCAGCUAGGAGAUGCAAGGAGUUUUUUGUACACAAUGUCUGAUAAGAAGACUGCAAUAUUUCCCAAUGGCCUUGAUAUCAUGAGGCUAUUGAAAUAAUUCUCAAGUGCUUUUGAGCCUGACAUAGUAUUACCUGCUCAUAACUACUUGAUUUCUACAGAAAUUAUUAAUCUGUAUUUCUAGUGCAAUGGGCACCAUUGUAUCUCAGAACCAGAAUGCUGCCAUGGUACAACAGCUGUGACAUGCUGAUGACAUACCAUAACAGUGACCUGAACACAGUGACCCUGAAGACAGUGUUAUGAUAUUAGGCUGUAACAUCCAGCCACAAUCAAUCUGUUGAUCUCUUGUGAAACAGUGAGUUUUCUUCAAGGACAUAGACUGAGUAGCCAGAGAUUUUGAGGCUGCUUACAAGCAAUAAAAAAAGAUUAUUACAAUGUAAUAAUAAUAAUACAAAAUUAAAUUUAAAAAUUGCAAAAUAUUAAAAUUGUAAAAUGAAGAAUGAAUAGAACAUUUAUGUUCAGUGCACUUUUCUUAGGCAUUUUUUAUAUUCUUAUUGCUACUCUUGAGUAUGUUUGUGUCUGAAUGUAAAAAGUUUCUCCAAAUCAGUUGCAACCAGUUUGUUUUCAAGUCAUAUGCUGCAGUUACAGCACAGCGCUGUCCUUAUUAUACUCCAAGCUCUACUCUACAGAUUAAUAUGACAUAAUUUCAGGUGGACUCAUCUUUUCACUCCAGAUCAAGUAAGAAGGAAAAGCUGAGUAGAAAGGAGUGUUCUAUUUUACAGAAAUAUUCUAUGAAUUUGAGGUGAAUAGAAAAUGUGAAGAAAAGCUAUUAAUAUUAUUCCAAUCUGGUUGAGCAUAUAUUACUAAAUUCCAAACUAAGGCAUAAGAAACAGAGUUAUCAUCACGUAUCAAUACAGAUUUCUUCAAGGAUUAUCAGAGUCAUGCGUGUUAAUGUUAAUGAUAUCACAGAGCACUGUGGUAACACAUGUAUCUAAUCAAUUACAAGAUUUAUGGUAAAUAAAUUCUUCACACAAUUUCAGUACUACUGCUGAAAAGGGCUGUUUGCAUGAAGGACUUGGAUACUGAAAAUGUUUCUUACAUCUCAAUCCCAGAAUUGAAUUACAGCCAAAAUCAGUGAUCUUUACUACCAUGCGAUUGUCUACUACACAGUUUGUGGAUUUGAGUCGACCAUGGACUUCAGUUUUGCUUGAGUGCAGCAGCUUCAAACAAGGACAUACCAAGGGGAAUAUUUGAAAGAUGUUUCAGAUCCACUGACAACAUGGCAUGUUAUGGGGCCCAAGGGAUGGAUGAGAAUGGGACUGGAGCAACAUCAAGAAGACAGGAGCCAGAAAGCACAGAGCUCAUGGAGCUGGUAGGGAGACCCUGUGGCUGAUGUGUGCACAGACAGCAGUCAUGGUCAUAAUAAGAGAAACCAGAGAUUUGACCAGGGAUAAGAAAUCAAAGCUCCACUGAAAUCCCUCUACUCUUAGUGGGAGUAGAAAAAUUUUCUGGAGUCUUAUCAAAGCUGCUGCCUCUUCCUGGUAUCUCCCAUGAGUCCCUUACAAUGAACCACUAUUCUCUUAUGAAGGAUAAGGCCUAAUUUGAGGGCAUCUGAUUUACUUUACUAAGGAAUAAAAAUGUUUAAACCCAUUUUACCACCUUACUGUGAAUGGACUCUCAGCUAGCAGAAGGUGUUUGUCUCUCCAGUUAUGAUUUGCCUACUCCCUAAUGGAGGCAAGCAGUACAGUAAAUUAUUGGGAAGGCUUUAGCAGAGACUUUUAACAGCACCAUCACUGGAUUUUCACUGGUGAAAUGACUCAGGUGAACACUAACCCACUGUGCACUAAUCCUUGUGAUUACUGCCACUGCAAUAAUUUUUAUUCUGCAUAUCAUACCCUGAAGCAUAUGCCCUUCCAUUGUCAAUUACCAUGUGGCAGCAGUCUUAAAGGGGGAAACAAUCUCAAGCUGAUCAGAUUGACAAGGCUGUACUCUCCUACGCUGAAA